This 493-nucleotide ribosomal RNA is filed under the name uncultured bacterium. RNAcentral's name for it is "partial 16S ribosomal RNA". It matches the Rfam family "Bacterial small subunit ribosomal RNA", at positions 29 to 523 of the family's 1533-position model. The record is from RNAcentral.
AUUGAACGCUGGCGGCAUGCUUUACACAUGCAAGUCGAACGGUAACAGGUUAAGCUGACGAGUGGCGAACGGGUGAGUAAUGCAUCGGAACGUGCCCGGUCGUGGGGGAUAACGCAGCGAAAGCUGCGCUAAUACCGCAUACGAUCUGAGGAUGAAAGCGGGGGACCGUAAGGCCUCGCGCGAUCGGAGCGGCCGAUGUCAGAUUAGGUAGUUGGUGGGGUAAAGGCUCACCAAGCCAACGAUCUGUAGCUGGUCUGAGAGGACGACCAGCCACACUGGGACUGAGACACGGCCCAGACUCCUACGGGAGGCAGCAGUGGGGAAUUUUGGACAAUGGGCGCAAGCCUGAUCCAGCCAUGCCGCGUGCGGGAAGAAGGCCUUCGGGUUGUAAACCGCUUUUGUCGGGGAAGAAACGGUGGGAGCUAAUAUCUUCUGCUAAUGACGGUACCCGAAGAAUAAGCACCGGCUAACUACGUGCCAGCAGCCGCAGUAA